UGAUGGAUGAUUCUCUCUCAUCAUUGAUGUUUCUGUCUCCCCCUUUCUCUUCCGCUCUGAAAAUCAAUAAAAACAUAUUUUAAAAAUUAAAGAAGGUCCUAAAAUUUGUGAGUACCAAGUACUUGUCAGAUCCCGUGUGCUUGCUGUGCUGAGUCUGUUGCAUGUGGGGACAGGAUUGGCUGUGAGACGCAGGUGUGGUCAGGGCUGUGCCCAGUGCUUCCUGGCUUUGACCUGGUCACUCUUUGGCUGGGACACCUCUCUGCUCCUUUGUCCUUUUCUUUCCAGUAGAACCUUGUCAGACCAGGACCUGCCAUCACAGGGACUCAAACAUCACCAGUCCUUGUAAAUCGUCCUAAUAAAGAACAUCUCCAGGACCAUGGGCAGCGAGGGCUUCGCUUGUUCAUCAGAUUGGCAGUUGGACAGACAAUUCUGGGGAUCAGGAGAGAUGUCAGAAGGAGAAACAGACAAAAGGAGGUCUAGAAGGCACAGGCACCAUGGAGCCCCCAGCGUUCCUGUGCACAGGAACCACCUGGACCUCUUGUUGGCUCAGGAUGUCAGGAGCAGAGUGUGAGAGGCUGGCUCUAUCCCAAGGUGCUGAUGCUGCUGGUCUUCAGAUCACACAGUGAGCAGCGAGAACCCAGACCAGGAUCCCCAUGUCUGUGUGUCAGCCUCGCCUGCAGGUGUUACACAGGUGGUUCCUGUCUGUGCCUAAUUCUCUGGGUCUGUGGGUCUGGGAGAGGCUGGGGGUUUUGUAAGAAGCUCACAAGGAAUCCUGGGCUCAGCCAGCCUGGGAACCACUGAGGCCAGUGCCAGAGCUCAGGAUGGGGAGGGGUUUUACGUCCACAUUUAAAGGUUUCAUUUUUCCUCAGAAAGAAAAAGGAGGGCAUUUAUCACCAGUUAUGAAACAUGAUGGGAGUUACGUGUCGUUCUCUCUGCCAUGGGGUAGAGUCAGGUGGAAGAGCUAGGACAUGGGCCCUGGGUCCCAAUAACAUCUCUGAAGGCUUGCUCUCUGAAACUGUUCCCCAGAUAUAGUUCUUGGAGCAAACAAUGGAAUCCCUAUCUAUUCUAAUUUAGACAUAAAGUAGCAUAUAUAUAUAUAUAUAUAUAUAUAUGAUAUUGGGGUCUAAUAGUAUUUUAGGGAAAACCACAGGCUUGAAGUCACACAGCCAGAAACUGAUCCACAUUCAGCCCAGGUCAGGCCCCACACAAGAGCCACUGCCCUGCUGCUGGACACGGAUGCCACUGCUCACACCACUGACCCCUGAAGCUGGACCCUGGGCCCUGUGCUAGGACUGCCACCACUGCUGCUCCUGGCACCUGACACUGUUACUGCCUCUCCUGGCACCCUUACCAAACGCAGCCUGCACAGUCCCAGCCUCUGCAUCACCACGUCCCGAGUCAGGGCUUGCUCAUGGAGUCCCUGAACAAUGUGAAACUGGGAUGGAGCCUGCAUGGGCUCAGCAACGCAGCCUCCACUCACCCAGGCUGAGCUGUGGCUGCACUGCUGAUUGCACAGCCUGCUGAGAGCAGCUUGUUCCCUGAAAAGAGAAAUAAAAUAAGUGAAAUUAAUUAUGAACAAAACAGAGUUGUCUUAGAUAAAUAUGUCACUGCAGAUAUAGGAGAGAGGUAACCAAUCUUAAAACUAUAAAAAAAUUUGUUAAUGGAAGAGACUGCAAAGAAAAAAGUGAAAGCGGUUGUAAAAUAUUUACCUCCCUUCAACCAUAUCCAUAUCCAUUCUUUAGGUAACUAAAAGCAAAAAGAGGGAUGCACAUUGGCCUUGGGCAAUUUUUUUUCUCCAGUAUCUUCUACAGGAAAGUUCUACUAAACCUUCAAGAAACACUCCUGAUCUUCUAUGAAAUAUUUAGAAGAAUGAAGAAAUAUAGGGAAAGCCAAACAACUCAAUUAUUAGGCAUGAAUAACCUUGAUCCCAGCUCCAAUUAGGGAAGAAAUAAGGAAGAUAAUAUGAAAAUCAUAUUUAAGAAAGGGCAUGUGAAAAUCCUGAGAAAAUAUAGUAGACUAUCAAUGUAGUGAGAAGCAAUUAAGUAUCUUGACCAAGUUAGGCAGCCCAGGAAUGCAACAAAAAUCAAAUUGUAAAUCUCUUAACGAAAUCCAGGGAAGAUGCUGUAGAAACUACUCCAGAUGAAAUCAAUGCUCCAUCUGACCCACCUUUAUUUUUUUUAAAAUAUAUUUUAUUGAUUUUUUUA
Long non-coding RNA from Myotis myotis, 2204 nucleotides. RefSeq lists it as uncharacterized. Lineage: Eukaryota; Metazoa; Chordata; Mammalia; Chiroptera; Vespertilionidae. The record is from RefSeq and is a predicted model, not a curated record. The transcript has 3 exons.